GACAAAAGUUUGUUAACCAUAUCAUGGAUCAGUCAUGUAGGCCCAAUAGGGAUAGGCCCAUUAUAUAUUCUCCUUUAUAAAUUCGGUAGCUUUGUAGCUGUAAGAAAAAGAUGUAUAAGUGAGUCCAAAUGUACAAUACCCGGGUCCAACAAUAAGAAAUGGGACACACUAUAAUGUAAAGGAACUCAAUUCAUUUUUAGCUCUUAGCUUUUCAUGAAAUAAAAAAACAGAUUGUUUCUCUCUCUCUCAAGCUAGGUUUUGUUCAUUUCAUUUCACAAAUAGAUUCGGACAUACGAAUCUAACAUGGUAUCAGAGCAAUGGAAUAGAUCCAUCUCGUCACCAGCUAUCGUCCGAUUGUACCCUUCGCCGAAGUUUUUAAAGUUUUAUGUUCCGAGGUUUCUUCUCAGAUGGUGAAAUUUUUGGGGAUUUUUCGUGUUUUCUCUCCUUCAACACUCAGAGGUCCUUUCUCUUUCACUAUUUGACAAAAAUAUCUGGUACUUUGCGACAGCCAGGCAGCCCUUCAUAUUGCCAAGAACCCCAUCUUUCAUGAGCACACAAAGCAAAUUGAUAUUGAUUGUCAUUAUGUGAGGGAUUGUCUUCACUCUGGGCUGAUUUCUCUUCAGCAUGUUUCAUCCUCUGCACAACUUGUUGACAAUCUGACCAAAUCCCUUCAGGGCCCUCUUCAUCAUUCUCUCCUUGGCAAGCUUGGAGUGUUCUUCGGCUUGGGGGUGGGGUGUUAACCAUAUCAUGGAUCAGUCAUGUAGGCCCAAUAAGGGAUAUGCCCAGUUGUAUAUUCUCCUUUAUAAAUUCUGUAGCUUUGUAGCUGUAAGAAAAAGAUGUAUAAGUGAGUCCAAAUAUACAAUACCCGGGUCCAACAAUAAGAAAUGGGACAUUCUAGAAUGUAAAGGAACUCAAUUCAUUUUUAGCUCUUAGCUUUUCAUGAAAUAAAAAAACAGACCGCUUCUCUCUCUCUCAA
Long non-coding RNA from Nicotiana tabacum (common tobacco), 976 nucleotides. RefSeq lists it as uncharacterized. The record is from RefSeq and is a predicted model, not a curated record. NCBI's taxonomy places the organism in Eukaryota, Viridiplantae, Streptophyta, Magnoliopsida, Solanales, Solanaceae.